UAGGGAAUCUUCGGCAAUGGACGGAANNNUGGACCGAGCAACGCCGCGUGAGUGAAGAAGGUUUUCGGAUCGUAAAGCUCUGUUGUAAGAGAAGAACGAGUGUGAGAGUGGAAAGUUCACACUGUGACGGUAUCUUACCAGAAAGGGACGGCUAACUACGUGCCAGCAGCCGCGGUAAUACGUAGGUCCCGAGCGUUGUCCGGAUUUAUUGGGCGUAAAGCGAGCGCAGGCGGUUAGAUAAGUCUGAAGUUAAAGGCUGUGGCUUAACCAUAGUAGGCUUUGGAAACUGUUUAACUUGAGUGCAAGAGGGGAGAGUGGAAUUCCAUGUGUAGCGGUGAAAUGCGUAGAUAUAUGGAGGAACACCGGUGGCGAAAGCGGCUCUCUGGCUUGUAACUGACGCUGAGGCUCGAAAGCGUGGGGAGCAAACAGGAUUAGAUACCCUGGUAGUCCACGCUGUAAACGAUGAGUGCUAGGUGUUAGACCCUUUCCGGGGUUUAGUGCCGUAGCUAACGCAUUAAGCACUCCGCCUGGGGAGUACGACCGCANGNUG
This 550-nucleotide ribosomal RNA is filed under the name uncultured bacterium. Its description in RNAcentral is "bacterial SSU rRNA". It matches the Rfam family "Bacterial small subunit ribosomal RNA", at positions 355 to 895 of the family's 1533-position model. The record is from RNAcentral.